UUGAGUAUUGUCUUAUUUGGAGGGCCCAGGAGGGGCCAUGUGAUAUUGAUGAGAUGUUAUUGGAAAUUGAGAAUUUAGAAGUGUUAUUUGAGCCUUUUUGCAGGUUGGGUAGGUCCCAGGUAUAGGGGAAACUCUGCCGGAUUUCCGGCAUUAAUUAGGCUGUCUAUUACCUCUUUAGAGUUUUAUCUUAACUUAGUACUAAUAAAUUUAUAAUGUAAUUAUUAGGUGAUCGAGGUCAGCUAUUUUUCUGCAUCCAACAGCCACAAUAGUCAUCGGUGUACUGCCACAGGAGGAGUUAUUUUACAGAGCAACCUGUUUUCUUCCUCGCAGGUUUAACGUCGAUCAUUUAAUUGUUUUACUAUCUUUUCUAAAUUUAAAAUCUAGAACUCCACAUGUGUUAGUAAUAGUGUGGACCUUGUUAGAAAUUGUGUUAAUUUAAAUUUUUGAAAUUAAUAAAUGAAGAUUUGUACGGUACUUAAACAGUUUGUAAAUGAGGUAACAGGGUUGAGCUGGGCUCCCCUGAUUUUAGUUUCUGAAAAUUUCUGGGUUAAGUUGGCUCAAAAUAUUAUUAUAACAGUUUAAUUUAAUUUAUUUUAUAUG
Hevea brasiliensis (rubber tree) is the source of this 600-nucleotide long non-coding RNA. RefSeq lists it as uncharacterized. The transcript has 2 exons. The record is from RefSeq and is a predicted model, not a curated record. NCBI's taxonomy places the organism in Eukaryota, Viridiplantae, Streptophyta, Magnoliopsida, Malpighiales, Euphorbiaceae.